RNAcentral lists this ribosomal RNA (1096 nucleotides) under Escherichia coli. Its description in RNAcentral is "partial 23S ribosomal RNA". It matches the Rfam family "Bacterial large subunit ribosomal RNA", at positions 427 to 1529 of the family's 2925-position model. The record is from RNAcentral. Lineage: Bacteria; Pseudomonadati; Pseudomonadota; Gammaproteobacteria; Enterobacterales; Enterobacteriaceae.
UGGUAUCCUGUCUGAAUAUGGGGGGACCAUCCUCCAAGGCUAAAUACUCCUGACUGACCGAUAGUGAACCAGUACCGUGAGGGAAAGGCGAAAAGAACCCCGGCGAGGGGAGUGAAAAAGAACCUGAAACCGUGUACGUACAAGCAGUGGGAGCCUCUUAAUGGGGUGACUGCGUACCUUUUGUAUAAUGGGUCAGCGACUUAUAUUCUGUAGCAAGGUUAACCGAAUAGGGGAGCCGAAGGGAAACCGAGUCUUAACUGGGCGUUAAGUUGCAGGGUAUAGACCCGAAACCCGGUGAUCUAGCCAUGGGCAGGUUGAAGGUUGGGUAACACUAACUGGAGGACCGAACCGACUAAUGUUGAAAAAUUAGCGGAUGACUUGUGGCUGGGGGUGAAAGGCCAAUCAAACCGGGAGAUAGCUGGUUCUCCCCGAAAGCUAUUUAGGUAGCGCCUCGUGAAUUCAUCUCCGGGGGUAGAGCACUGUUUCGGCAAGGGGGUCAUCCCGACUUACCAACCCGAUGCAAACUGCGAAUACCGGAGAAUGUUAUCACGGGAGACACACGGCGGGUGCUAACGUCCGUCGUGAAGAGGGAAACAACCCAGACCGCCAGCUAAGGUCCCAAAGUCAUGGUUAAGUGGGAAACGAUGUGGGAAGGCCCAGACAGCCAGGAUGUUGGCUUAGAAGCAGCCAUCAUUUAAAGAAAGCGUAAUAGCUCACUGGUCGAGUCGGCCUGCGCGGAAGAUGUAACGGGGCUAAACCAUGCACCGAAGCUGCGGCAGCGACACUAUGUGUUGUUGGGUAGGGGAGCGUUCUGUAAGCCUGUGAAGGUGGCCUGUGAGGGUUGCUGGAGGUAUCAGAAGUGCGAAUGCUGACAUAAGUAACGAUAAAGCGGGUGAAAAGCCCGCUCGCCGGAAGACCAAGGGUUCCUGUCCAACGUUAAUCGGGGCAGGGUGAGUCGACCCCUAAGGCGAGGCCGAAAGGCGUAGUCGAUGGGAAACAGGUUAAUAUUCCUGUACUUGGUGUUACUGCGAAGGGGGGACGGAGAAGGCUAUGUUGGCCGGGCGACGGUUGUCCCGGUUUAAGCGUGUAGGCUGGU